Molecule: long non-coding RNA, 1423 nt
Organism: Astatotilapia calliptera (eastern happy)
Lineage: Eukaryota; Metazoa; Chordata; Actinopteri; Cichliformes; Cichlidae
Source: Ensembl
CAGUUUCAUUAGGAAAUGGAGAAGCCACUCUGGACGCUCCUUUGUUGUAGUAGGUCAGCGAUGGCCCCGGCUGUGGAGCGGCCAAUGAAAAUGGGAAUGUAGCUGAGGACAGUGAAACUAUUCCAGACCAGACACCUGCUGAGGGAAGCGAUGCCAAGCCUGGAGAUGAGCCUGCUGAAGAGCCUGCCGUGACAGCCGCGUCUGCAGACACCACAGCUGCAACUCCACCAGCAGCAGAAGAGUCUCAGGAUGCAGCCAGCAGCCCGCCCGCUGAGACUUCAGCAGCAGCAGGAGACAGCACCGCUGAGACAGCAGCAAGCUCCUCAGAGGCUGAAGCUCCUGCCCCAGAGCCAGAAAAAGGGGAUGCCGGAGCGACUGACUCAGAGCCCAAAACAGACGAGACACCUGCUCCCAGUGAGUGACGUGCGACAUGACCGACUGCACAGAGGAGUUUAUCUGCACGCAUGAGUGAAAGUAUGUCCGUGUGUGUGUGUGUGUGUGUGUAUGAGAAAGAAAGACAUUGUCUUGUUGCCAAGAUCCAGACCCCGUGGAAACCACUUUGAGUCCGGGUGCUCAGUCACCACUGUGCCUUCUUCCUCCUCCUGGAUGUCUGCAGUCUCUCCUCUUUGACUGUGAAUAGAGUUCAACAGCACUUAGGUUUCUUUAUCUGUAACAGGUAGUAAACAGCUGAGAGAAGCUUAGAUUACUAUUUAUUAUCUGUAAUGAAAUAGCACCAUAAACUGUAUGUCCUUAACUUAUUCUUGAAACCUAAGAGUUUGUUUCUGUGAAAACGAAAGCCAAAGUAUAUUAGAUAUUAGAAGAUAUUAUAUUUCUUUUUUGGGGGGUGAGGGGUAGCUAGCUUUGAUUUUAUUAUCAUAUUUAAAGUAGGCGUAAAUCUAAGAGGGUUUUUUCCUGAUGUGUCAUGAUUUUUAGUAUUCCCAAAAAUCUGUAAUUAGCAAUAAGCUGUUGAAAAAUUAAAAAGAUCUUAAAAUAAAACCGAGUACACAUAUUCUCUGUGUUUUAAUUCGAUGCAGGAUGAAAGCAAACAUGUCACACUGUGAUACAGCAUUUUUUUUUUUUUUUUAAUGAGUGAAAUUAUCAAACCAGAAGCCAAGAGGAGGUUCAGAUGAUGUUGGGGCUUUUCCAUCUGAGUGUCCAGUCCCACUGGAUCCCUACUCUUUGUUUAAUGAGCAGCCUCUGAGGUGUUAACAACUGAAUGUGUGGACAUCUAUGAAUGUCCACACAGUCUCCAACAUUUCUGUGGACUUUGUUUACUUAUAAUUUUGGGUGUAAUGAAAAAAACGCGUCAAAUUUUUCCAGCAAAAUUCCCUCCGCAACGGCGAAUUCGUUGUACUGUGUUGUAUUUCACACAUACUAACCCAUCCCUUCUCUGUUAUGGUCAGUUCAGCUUCCCAUUUCUUUU